Molecule: long non-coding RNA, 309 nt
Organism: Ailuropoda melanoleuca (giant panda)
Lineage: Eukaryota; Metazoa; Chordata; Mammalia; Carnivora; Ursidae
Exons: 3
Source: RefSeq, a predicted model, not a curated record
GGAAAAUGUUGUCCUUGACCCUCUCAGGGGCCCUGGCUGACAAAGACAGGCUCACAGGGAAAAGCACACACGUUUAUUUAAUACAAGUUCUCAGGGAGGUGGUGAGGAAGCGGAGGGCCAUGUUUGUUUUGGGGUGGCCUGCCCGGAAUCUCUUCAGGGGCUUGGCUUCCUUGGAAUUCCACUUCCCUUGCCUGUGGUUGCUGAUCAGCGACGGACCGGGCCAAGGACAAAAGAGACAACUAGGUAGAAGAGAGAGAGACAGCCAGCGAGAGAGGGAACACAAGCAGGAGGAGUGGGAGAGGAAGAAGC